This is a long non-coding RNA of Bos taurus (domestic cattle), 1136 nucleotides long. The record is from Ensembl. NCBI's taxonomy places the organism in Eukaryota, Metazoa, Chordata, Mammalia, Artiodactyla, Bovidae.
GGGGAGGCAACUCUUCAGGUGCAGGUACUCAGGAAAACCCAACUGGAGGGGGAAGCGGGGAUGGGAAUCCUAUAACUAGGUGGUGACCCUAAUGGCUUAUUCGGAGAGGCAUGGAUCGAGAGAGGGUUCAAUAGUCAUAGUUUUGAUGAAUGGUAAUACAGCUAAUGACUUAACCUGUGACCCAGUUGAAUCUAGCAGUCACCUCUGCACAGCUACUCCAGGGCCAGAGUCUCGUUCAGCCAGAGUUUGCAGGUCCUCUUACACAUCAGAAGCACCUCAUAUAUGCUUGGUUUGUCUGCACCAAGUAGGUUCCUGGGCAAGCUAAGCCAAGCCGUUCUAUUUCUGGAGCCCUCUGCCGAGAGCCGCUUCAAGCAAGAUCAUGGAAAUGUUCUGAUGACAGUCCCACACCGCUACAGUUGCCAGAUCUUCCCAGCGCCAGCGGCGCGCGGCGGCGGCGCGUUUACCUAAGCGCGGAGAAGUGUGAGGAUUUAAAAUACAUUCAUCUGUGGGCGAACAAGGAGGAAAAGAAGAAACAGAGGGCUGCCAGGCGAAGCGGGAACCAGAGGAGUACCCGGGCGCCCCUGGGCAGGAGCCAGGUGGGCGCCCUUUCGGGAAGAGAGCCCCGAGGGCCCAGUGGAGGGUCGCGGGAGGAGGGGAGGCGAUGCGAGUGUUCCUGUUUGCGUUCGCUUGCGCCAGCUUCUCCAGCCCCUCAAGCACAAAUGGGGAAAAGUCAGCUAGGAUUAUUGACUAGAAACACUACGUUAGAAGCCGGGGCUGCCCCAGCAACUGGACAGGUGCCAGCUCUGAUCUCCAGGCUGGGUAGGUCUCACCUGUGGCAGAAACGCACAGCCUCCCCCGCCCUGAGUCCAGGAUUUCGGGAGGGCGGGAGUGGGGAGACUCCCGAGGGGAAGAAGGAUCCCCGAAGCACCUGCUCCACCGGAUCCCACUACCUGUGCGUCUUCCGAGUCCCCGCAUCCUCCGAGCUGGACCCCGGGCCAUUUUUCAAGUGUCUCACCAGCUUUUGGACGCAGAGCCUCAACGGUUGCUUAGCUCAUUAUAAAUUCUCUUCUUUAUACUUUUCAAGGCUGUAGCCGUAUAAACAAUCGGUUUUCUUUGUAUCAUAUAAAAUAAAAGAU